CACGAACCGGACGAACGUUAUUCGGAAUCACUGGGCUUAAAGCGUGCGUAGGCGGCCUGGAAGGUGGGGUGUGAAAGCCCUCGGCUCAACCGAGGAAUUGCGCUCCAAACCACCCGGCUCGAGGGAGAUAGAGGUGAGCGGAACUCACGGUGGAGCGGUGAAAUGCGUUGAUAUCGUGAGGAACACCGGUGGCGAAAGCGGCUCACUGGAUCUCUACUGACGCUGAGGCACGAAAGCUAGGGUAGCGAACGGG
Molecule: unclassified non-coding RNA, 253 nt
Filed under: uncultured Pirellulaceae bacterium
Lineage: Bacteria; Pseudomonadati; Planctomycetota; Planctomycetia; Pirellulales; Pirellulaceae
Description: contains 16S-23S intergenic spacer region
Rfam family: Bacterial small subunit ribosomal RNA
Source: RNAcentral